RNAcentral lists this ribosomal RNA (497 nucleotides) under uncultured bacterium. RNAcentral describes it as "partial 16S ribosomal RNA". It matches the Rfam family "Bacterial small subunit ribosomal RNA", at positions 28 to 507 of the family's 1533-position model. The record is from RNAcentral.
GAUGAACGCUGGCGGCGUGCCUAAUACAUGCAAGUCGAGCGAACAGACGAGGCGCUUGCUCCUCUGACGUUAGCGGAGGACGGGUGUGUAACACGUGGAUCACCUACCUAUCAUUCUGGGAUCUUCUCGGGACACCGGCGCAUAUCCCGGAUAAUAUAUUGAUCCGCAUGGUUCAAUAGUGAAAGACGGCUUUGCUGUAACUUAUAGCUGCAUCCGCGCCGCAUUAGCUAGUUGGUAAGGUAACGGCCUAUCAAGGCGACGAUGCGUAGCCGACCUGGGAGGGUGAUCGGCCACACUGGAGCUGAGACGCGGUCCAGACUCCUACGGGAGGCAGCAGAAGGGAAUCUGCCGCAACAGUCGAGAGCCUUGCGCAGCGACGCGGCGUGAGUUGUAGAGAUGUUGGGAUCGUAAAGCUCUGUUAUGAGUUAAAAACAAAUGUGUAAGUAACUAUGCACGUCUUGACGGUACCUAGUCAGAAAGCCACGGCUAACUACGUG